RNAcentral lists this ribosomal RNA (253 nucleotides) under uncultured bacterium. RNAcentral describes it as "partial 16S ribosomal RNA". It matches the Rfam family "Bacterial small subunit ribosomal RNA", at positions 524 to 776 of the family's 1533-position model. The record is from RNAcentral.
UACAGAGGGUGCGAGCGUUAAUCGGAAUUACUGGGCGUAAAGCGCGCGUAGGCGGCUUUGCAAGUCGGGUGUGAAAUCCCCAGGCUUAACCUGGGAACUGCAUUCGAGACUGCAUUGCUAGAGUAUGGGAGAGGGAAGUGGAAUUUCCGGUGUAGCGGUGAAAUGCGUAGAUAUCGGAAGGAACAUCAGUGGCGAAAGCGACUUCCUGGACCAAUACUGACGCUCGUGUGCGAAAGCGUGGGGAGCAAACAGG